Molecule: ribosomal RNA, 483 nt
Filed under: uncultured bacterium
Lineage: Bacteria
Description: partial 16S ribosomal RNA
Rfam family: Bacterial small subunit ribosomal RNA
Source: RNAcentral
GACGAACGCUGGCGGCGUGCUUAACACAUGCAAGUCGAACGAUGAAGCGGGUGCUUGCCCUCGUGGAUUAGUGGCGAACGGGCGAGUAACACGUGAGUAACCUGUCCUUUUCUUUGGGAUAACGGCUGGAAACGGCUGCUAAUACUGGAUAUUCAGGCUGCAUCGCAUGGUGUGGUUUGGAAAGGUUUUUUCUGGGAUUGGGUGGGCUCGCGGCCUAUCAGCUUGUUGGUGGGGUGAUGGCUUACCAAGGCUUUGACGGGUAGCCGGCCUGAGAGGGUGGUCGGUCGCACUGGGACUGAGAUACGGCCCAGACUCCUACGGGAGGCAGCAGUGGGGAAGAUUGCACAAUGGACGAAAGUUUGAUGCAGCGACGCCGCGUGGAGGGUGUAGGCCUUCGGGUUGUGAACUCCUUUUUCUCGCGAAAAAGGCACAGUUUUGGCUGUGUUGAUGGUAGUGGGGGAAGAAGCGCCGGCUAACUACGUG